This 148-nucleotide non-coding RNA is filed under the name Gorilla gorilla gorilla (western lowland gorilla). The record is from Rfam by way of RNAcentral. Lineage: Eukaryota; Metazoa; Chordata; Mammalia; Primates; Hominidae.
GCCAGGCGCUGUGGCGGGCGCCUGUAAUCCCAGCUACUUGGGAGGCUGAGGCAGGAGGAUUGCUUGAACCCAGAAAGUGGAGGUUGCAGUGAGCCAAGACCGUGCCAUUGCACUCCAGCCUGGGUGACAGAGCAAGACUCCGUCUCAA